UCAUGGAUUUGGAUUUAUGGCAUAACCCCCCUGGGUCUUUCAUAGUGGGCCAUGCCAGAGCAAACUAUAUCCUUGAACCAUUGUCUGACCUUGGCUCAUAGGCUGCUGGCACUAAAGUGGGUUACAGUGAA
This is a small nucleolar RNA of Phyllostomus discolor (pale spear-nosed bat), 131 nucleotides long. RefSeq annotates it as small nucleolar RNA SNORA42/SNORA80 family. The record is from RefSeq and is a predicted model, not a curated record. The transcript has a single exon. Lineage: Eukaryota; Metazoa; Chordata; Mammalia; Chiroptera; Phyllostomidae.